Molecule: long non-coding RNA, 1328 nt
Organism: Engraulis encrasicolus (European anchovy)
Lineage: Eukaryota; Metazoa; Chordata; Actinopteri; Clupeiformes; Engraulidae
Exons: 4
Source: RefSeq, a predicted model, not a curated record
UUAGUGUGUGUGAUUGACAGCUGCUGAUUGACAGCAGUGGGCGGGCAUAAUCUAUUUAUAUGAAUGGACCCUUGCUUCCUGUCUCGUUUCCGCCACACAUUGUUUUGGCGUGAGCCUGGGCUGCGUUUGUUGCCGAGGGGCCGCAGAUGAACCGUGAGGUGCGGCGUUCACUCAGCACUUGUGAUCGCUUGGGAGCGCACUGAUAAACUCCAAGGAGCUAGGAGCUGUGUGGACACUGGUUGGCCUGCUCGUGGAGGUAGUUGGUGUGGCGUGGUGAUCCUCGAAAGCGUUGUGCUGGUGACUCGCGUGUCUGAGCCUUCAUCCGCGGCCCCUCCGGCACGAACCAACCAGUGUGUCUGUGCCUACGGGUCUGUCGGCUGCUGUUUCGCCUGGGACAAUUUGGGUUUGAGUCUCCCCUUGCUUUGCACCUGCCGCGCUGUGGCUUGGCCGUGCUUCGCUGGGUACGGGGAGGAAUUGCGCUUGUAGCCACGCUUGCCCCUUCACCUCGCUUUGCCUGCACGGAGCGUGCAUGUCUGUCGUAACUGUCCGAGGGUGCGCGGUUUCAGUGGCUCCGCCUGCUUUUUACCCAUUUUGUGCUGUGCCUUAUUUAUUUUCAUUUCAUUUAUUUCUGCAUGUUUAUUGUGUGUCUUUAUUUUCGUUUGCUGUGCUGCUGCAUGCUUAUUUGUUUGCUUUGCUUCUGCAUGCUGCUUACUCUGCUAGGUUUGCUGCUUUGCAUGACUCUUUAACUGCUUGUGUGCCAGUGUAGCUAGACCCUGUUAUUCAGGGCUUUAUAUGUGUGCAGUGCUUAUUUUGUUUAUUUAUGUUUCUUUUCAGUUUACUUAUUUGUGUGUUUGGGGUUAAUGUGGGAUUGGGGAAAAUUAUGACUGCCAGCCUCUCCAGCAGUUUGGAGUGUGUCAAGGGCGUGUGAGUGAUGUGAGUGAUAACGUGUAUUGUUUUAUAGUGUGGUGGAACAUGGUAUAUAGUGCAUCGACAGCCUGGUGGUAGAAGGAAGUUCCUGCGUGUGCACACGAUAUAAGAUAAGUAGUACUGCAGAUCCAUAUAGGUUUAGUGAUCUCAGUAGUGCCCCAGGCUGUUUCUCUCUCUCUCUCUCUCUCUCUCUCUCUCUCUCUCUCUCUCUCUCUCUCUCUCUCUCUCUCUCUCUCUCUCUCUCUCUCUCUCUCUCUCUCUCUCUCUCUCUCUCUCUCUCUCUCUCUCGUGUUCCACCCACUAUUGUGCCUUGUGCUCAUAAAGAGCUUGCUAUUUUGCACAUUUUAUUUAUGAUUCAUGUUUGUACAACAAUAAAAGAGAAAUAUAUUUGGGAUCCCGUC